RNAcentral lists this transfer RNA (72 nucleotides) under Mahella australiensis 50-1 BON. It matches the Rfam family "tRNA". From Rfam's summary of the family: Transfer RNA (tRNA) molecules are approximately 80 nucleotides in length. Their secondary structure includes four short double-helical elements and three loops (D, anti-codon, and T loops). Lineage: Bacteria; Bacillati; Bacillota; Clostridia; Mahellales; Mahellaceae. The record is from Rfam by way of RNAcentral.
GCGGGAGUAGCUCAGGGGUAGAGCACUAGCUUCCCAAGCUGGGUGUCGCGGGUUCGAUUCCCGUUUCCCGCU